AAUUGUGGCAGGGGACUUGUAGAAUAUAUGAUUUUCUCCUCUUCAAAAAAUUUUUUUUUAAUUUCUUACCUUAAAGGUAAAAUAUUUUUUCUUACAUGUGAGGAAGCAAAAAACCUCUAAUAAUGGCAUUGCCAUUCUGAUGUGAGCUCAUCAGAGUACCAUUCUGACAUGAGCUUAGGGCCCUGAUCAGUAUGAAAUACGCUUUAUAAAAAUUUUUUUUCCUAAAACCCCAGUUGGCCCAGGGACCACUUUACAGAGCUCCAGCCUUGGACUUUUACCUAUGAUCAGUCCUAUUCUUCUCCAGGGUUUAUACUUGUUAAGUCAAUAUUAAAACACAGAAAACACCCCCCCGCCCUGAUUUUGUUCACUUUUGUUUUCAUAUACAAGAAUCUUAACAGUGAACAUGUACUUCUAGAUGCUGUAUUGAAAUUGCUGGCAGAGUCUAUUCUAUACAAACUGAACAAUCUGGCCCCUUGUUUUAUUUGUAAAGGUUCAAUGUAUCUAUGCCUGACUACUUCAAUCUGCAAGGGAGUGUCAGAAAGGCCCCGCAUUCGCCGAGCCGUGAGUUAUCACUAACUUUUCAGAUGUGUUAAUAAAUGUGGAACAAAAAGCAGUUGUGUUUAAAAGGAAAAAAGGACCAUCAAAAUAACCUCUAUUAUAGUAGCAGGCGUGAACACUAAAUGAAUUACUCCAAAUUGUGGUGUCAAAAAUAACAUUAACUAGAGACUAGCCUCUAGAAAACCUAUUGUUGAACUGCUCUGAAGCUGUUGUUUUAGCCAAAAGUUACUGUUCUUAAAGUUUUAUAAACCAUGAUUGCAAAUUAAUAUGUUGUUUAAGUCUUUUGAACCAAGUUAAAACAAUCUGAACAAAAUCUUACCCUGCCUAAAAAUGAUAGUAUUUAAUUGACUUUGAGUUAAGCUCUUUAAAAUAAUACCAUGUUAAAGGGGUAAAGUUUUAACCUUUUUUGUUACUCACAUGUCAAAAACAAAUUAAACAAUUGAAUCUCUUCCUUGAAAGUUUUAGUACAGUGUUAUUUACAGUCUGUUUUGGUACCAACAGUUCUUGCUUCAGUAAUUCACCAGUAGGUUUUCAUUCAUCAAUGACUAUGUCAAUUUAAGGCUAAAAAUAAAACACUUUCAUUUCUUAGGGCUUAAUCAGUCUCCUUAGAGGAAACCAUCCUUAAGAAUUCCCCCCUCCCAAAGAGAUUUGAAGCAAAAAAAAAAUCUAACUAACAUCUAUUUUUUUUUGUUAUUAGAGAUAGUUAACUUUCUUUUUCUUAUAUUCUUUCAAGUUUUGAGUAGAUAGGCCUAUUUGACUAGCAGGUCGGAAGCUUCUGUUGCCUAGGAGGUGUAUUGUGUUAAGUGAAGACAGAAUAAAUUUAAAUGGACCCAGUUUGGCCAUUUAUAGCACAGACUACCUAAAACUUGGAGAUAUGGGACCUUUGGAGCCAUUAAGUUAAAUGUUUCAUUUAGGCAGUGUGCCUUUGUUUGACUGGUGUGUAAGUCCUUCUUCCAGGUUUGUACACUCUUAAACACGUCAUUCUACCCUCUCUAACUCCUCCCAGCAGCAAAAGGGAGACACUUCAGCUGGAACAAAAUAGUGGAAGAAAUGGCGUCUGGGGUUCAGUGGGGAUUCGCAGUGUGUAUGCAAUGUUUGCAAGAUUACUUUUUAUGUUUUUCAAUUAAUGUAAAUAAUUACAGAAUGAAUCAGUGCUUAGUGUCAAUGUAGGGAACAUCGUAUACCAAUAGAAAUUCUCCUAGUGGGUCUGCU
RNAcentral lists this long non-coding RNA (1770 nucleotides) under Bos taurus (domestic cattle). RNAcentral describes it as "long non-coding RNA NONBTAT020272". Lineage: Eukaryota; Metazoa; Chordata; Mammalia; Artiodactyla; Bovidae. The record is from RNAcentral.